UACAGAGGUCCCGAGCGUUGUUCGGAUUCACUGGGCGUAAAGGGUGCGUAGGUGGUGAGGUAAGUCGGAUGUGAAAUCUCCGGGCUCAACCCGGAAAUGGCAUUGGAAACUACCUUGCUGGAGGAUUUGAGGGGGAUUGGAAUACUUGGUGUAGCAGUGAAAUGCGUAGAUAUCAAGUGGAACACCAGUGGCGAAAGCGGCGCGCUGGAUCUCUUCUGACGCUGAGGCGCGAAAGCCAGGGAGCAAACGGG
Molecule: ribosomal RNA, 251 nt
Filed under: uncultured bacterium
Lineage: Bacteria
Description: partial 16S ribosomal RNA
Rfam family: Bacterial small subunit ribosomal RNA
Source: RNAcentral